This is a ribosomal RNA of 1723 nucleotides. It matches the Rfam family "Bacterial large subunit ribosomal RNA", at positions 1017 to 2761 of the family's 2925-position model.
GGGAAACAGCCCAGAUCACCGUUUAAGGCCCCUAAAUAAUUACUAAGUGGCAAAGGAGGUAAUCGUACAUAGACAACCAGGAGGUUUGCCUAGAAGCAGCCACCCUUUAAAAAUAGCGUAAUAGCUUACUGGUCAAGUGCUUUUGCGCCGAAAAUGAACGGGACUAAGUAAUUUGCCGAAGACGUGAGAUAAUAUCGGUAGAAGAGCGUUCUGUUUUAGUUUGAAGCAAUAGUGAAAACAGUUGUGGACUAUUCAGAAGUGAGAAUGUCGGCUUAAGUAACGAAAACAUUGGUGAGAAUCCAAUGCCCCGGAAACCUAAGGAUUCCUUCGCAAGGUUCGUCCACGAAGGGUUAGUCAGGGCCUAAAAUGAGGUUUAACAACGUAAUUGAUGGAUAACGGGUUAAUAUUCCCGUACUACAAUUUAUAUGAUUAAGAGUGACGAAGAAGGCUAUAUCAGCCAAUUUUUGGUUUUUUGGUUUAAUCUUUCGAGGUUUUGAGAAGUGCUAAAAAAAGUAUUUUGAGCUGAGAAGAGAAUACGAGAUAUACUACGGUAUUGAAAGUGAUAAAUGUCAUGCUUCCUAGAAAAACUUUUUUAACUUCUGUAAUUUGUACCUGUACCUUAAACUGACACAGGUAGGUUGGUAGAGAAUACCAAGGGGCGCGAGAUAACUCUUUCUAAGGAACUCGGCAAAAUGACUCUGUAACUUCGGGAGAAAGAGUGCCACAAUAUUUUGUGGUCGCAGUUAACAGACCCAAGCGACUGUUUACCAAAAACACAGGUCUCCGCUAAGUUGUAAAACUAUGUAUGGGGGCUGACGCCUGCCCAGUGCCGGAAGGUUAAAGAAAUUGGUUAGCUCACGCGAAGCUAGUGACUGAAGCCCUGGUGAACGGCGGCCGUAACUAUAACGGUCCUAAGGUAGCGAAAUUCCUUGUCGGGUAAGUUCCGACCCGCACGAAAGGCGUAACGAUUUGGGUACUGUCUCAGAAAGAGACUCGGUGAAAUAGAAUUGACUGUGAAGAUGCGGUCUACUUGCACUUGGACAGAAAGACCCUAUGAAGCUUUACUGUAACUUGAAACUGGUUUCGGGCUUUUCUUGCGCAGAAUAGGUGGGAGGCAUUGAUCCUCUUUUUCGGAAGUUGGUGAGCCGUAAUGUGAGAUACCACUCUAGAAAAGUUAGAAAUCUAAUGACAUUUUUUUAGCAAGAUGUUUGACACUUUCAGGCGGGCAGUUUUACUGGGGCGGUAGCCUCCUAAAAAGUAACGGAGGCGUACAAAGGUUUUCUCAGGCUGGACGGAAAUUAGUUGUAGAGUGUAAAGAUAUAAGAAAGCUUGACUGUGAGACAUACAAGUCGAACAGAGACUAAAGUCGGUCUUAGUGAUCCGACGAUGCUGAAUGGAAAGGUCGUCGCUCAACGGAUAAAAGUUACUCUAGGGAUAACAGGCUGAUCUCCCCCAAGAGUUCACAUCGACGGGGAGGUUUGGCACCUCGAUGUCGGCUCAUCGCAACCUGGGGCGGAAGUACGUUCCAAGGGUUGGGCUGUUCGCCCAUUAAAGCGGUACGUGAGCUGGGUUCAGAACGUCGAGAGACAGUUCGGUCCAUAUCCGGUGUGAGUGUUAGAGUAUUGAAAGGAGCUUUCCUUAGUACGAGAGGACCGGGAAGGACGCACCACUGAUGUACCAGUUUUUGUACCAACAGAAUACGCUGGGUAGUCACGUGCGGAGU